ACGCUGGCGGCAGGCCUAACACAUGCAAGUCGAGCGGUAACAGGAAGUAGCUUGCUACUUCGCUGACGAGCGGCGGACGGGUGAGUAAUGCCUGGGAAUAUGCCUUGAUGUGGGGGAUAACUAUUGGAAACGAUAGCUAAUACCGCAUAAUGCCUACGGGCCAAAGAGGGGGAUCUUCGGACCUCUCGCGUCAAGAUUAGCCCAGGUGGGAUUAGCUAGUUGGUGGGGUAAAGGCUCACCAAGGCGACGAUCCCUAGCUGGUCUGAGAGGAUGAUCAGCCACACUGGAACUGAGACACGGUCCAGACUCCUACGGGAGGCAGCAGUGGGGAAUAUUGCACAAUGGGGGAAACCCUGAUGCAGCCAUGCCGCGUGUAUGAAGAAGGCCUUCGGGUUGUAAAGUACUUUCAGCAGUGAGGAAGGUGGURRUGUUAAUAGCRYUAUCAUUUGACGUUAGCUGCAGAAGAAGCACCGGCUAACUCCGUGCCAGCAGCCGCGGUAAUACGGAGGGUGCGAGCGUUAAUCGGAAUUACUGGGCGUAAAGCGCAUGCAGGCGGUCUGUUAAGCAAGAUGUGAAAGCCCGGGGCUCAACCUCGGAACAGCAUUUUGAACUGGCAGACUAGAGUCUUGUAGAGGGGGGUAGAAUUUCAGGUGUAGCGGUGAAAUGCGUAGAGAUCUGAAGGAAUACCGGUGGCGAAGGCGGCCCCCUGGACA
RNAcentral lists this ribosomal RNA (713 nucleotides) under Vibrio sp. 1A05. RNAcentral's name for it is "bacterial SSU rRNA". It matches the Rfam family "Bacterial small subunit ribosomal RNA", at positions 33 to 735 of the family's 1533-position model. RNAcentral also lists the same sequence under 1 other name. Lineage: Bacteria; Pseudomonadati; Pseudomonadota; Gammaproteobacteria; Vibrionales; Vibrionaceae. The record is from RNAcentral.